This 75-nucleotide transfer RNA is filed under the name Clavibacter michiganensis. RNAcentral's name for it is "tRNA-Thr". Lineage: Bacteria; Bacillati; Actinomycetota; Actinomycetes; Micrococcales; Microbacteriaceae. The record is from RNAcentral. RNAcentral also lists the same sequence under 1 other name.
CUUCGCCUGGAAGGGCGAGACGCUCGAGGAGUACUGGUGGUGCACCGAGCAGAUCUUCGACUGGUCGGGCGAGGC